Molecule: long non-coding RNA, 3644 nt
Filed under: Salmo salar (Atlantic salmon)
Lineage: Eukaryota; Metazoa; Chordata; Actinopteri; Salmoniformes; Salmonidae
Description: lncRNA (ENSSSAG00000108299.1)
Source: RNAcentral
UGUAAGUAUAACAAAACUCAUAUUGCAGGCAAAAACCUGUGAAAAAUAGAUUUUAAAAAAAUGUGAAUUUUGUGACUGUACUAUUUAGUGUCAUUGUUUUAUAGAUACCAUAGUGAGAAAGGAUUCAUUUCGCAACACCUACGGCUUCCACUAGAUGUCAACGAUCUUUAUAAAGUUGUUUGAAGCGUCUAUGAUAAACAGAGAGCAAAUUAGAAUCCAAGGAAGUUGACAUGUCAUCACUUCAUUUUUUUGCGCCUGCGCAUAAAUCUGAGAAGCGUGAGUUUUCAUCAUUGUUUAUCUAGACAUAGGAUAGGUUGUGUGAAAAUAUUACUGAUGUUUAACGUUAAAAAUGGACCAAAAGAUUAAUGCUAAACAACAUUUGACAUGUUUGAACAGACGUAAAUAGAUUAUUUACUAGGUUUUUUUAGCUUUUCGGCGUGAUUUUACACUCCCCCCACCACGUUUUGUGGGAGCAUAAUGAACGCUAAGUACUUGGUGUUAUUUGGACAUAAAUUAUGAACUUUGUCAAAAGAAACCACAUUUGUUCCGGACCUGGGAUGCCUUCCGGACCUGGGAUGCCUGCCUUCUGAUGGAGAUAAUCAAAGCUUUCCAGUGGGGGUCUGCGAGGAAAACCGGUGGCGCAUUUGAUGAAGUGUGAGGGAAAUUCCCGUCUAACCAAAAGAGGACGGGGACCUGCCCAGAACAGACUCUUACUGUGAACUGCCCAGGAGGAGACACAUCAUCCAUGAACAAUUGAGGAACGGCAACUGAUUUCAAUUGGGUCUGCUGGAUGGUCUGAUUUCUCCCUAAGGAUUAGCCCUUUGACUCCCUGACCUGUAACUGCAGUGAUAUCGCCAAGAUUAUAGGGGAGUAUAAGCCAAUUUGGGGGGGGGGGGUUCAACUGUGUGUUGUUAUUCUCUAAGACACUUGUCUUAGAAGUCUGGAUUUCCAGAAUUACAAAUGCCCUAAACUAAACUGUUGCUCUGGUCUGUCCUCUCUCUCAAGGUUAUGGUGAAGGUGACCACAGAUGGUAUCUAAAUGCAUGGAAGAUAAGUUGGCCGAGAGCAGAACAGUGUUAACCUCAACACCCCCCUAAAAAAAUCCUGAAAAUGUUGUUCAGUAUGGUCCUUCACCACUUCUACCGUGAGACCUGAGUCCAAGCCAGCAACCUGUACACAGCAUCCAGAAGCUAUCGACUGCCUUUUCUCUCAUGUUUUUUUUCUCAGGAUUGUGACAUGGGUCCAUGUGGAGUGAGCAUGGCGAGAGAUCCAGUCCAAACCUCUCUCAUGCUGCCGGUGUACUGGUAGGAAAAUGGACAAGAUAUAAUGGACUGUAAAGGACAGUGGCGGCUCAGGUGAGAGACAUUAUCAAGGGCCAUCCACUUUGAACAUGUGCCAUUAAAAUGACAAACUGAAACACUAUCUGAAGAAGAACAUGAAGAAACGCCAGGAAAGGAAUGGUGUCGUGAAGUGUGGGUGGUCUACCGUGCCCGUAAUUGAUUUAGGCUUAUCCAAAAUGGUUUAUUUGGGGUAUCAGGUUGAUUGUGGAGGUCUGCACAGAGCAUCAUGUUUUUUGCUCCUCCAGAGGAUGGAGAAAGAGUUAGAUGCCCACUCUGGAUGAGCCCCCUUUCCCCCUGUAGAUACGGACGAUGAGUAAUGAUUGAAGGUUGUUUCUUUUAACAAGUUGAAGGUAAGGUCAUCUAAACCCUUAACCUUUUUACAUCAUGUGAACACUGAGCUGACCUUUUGGGGGUCUUAGCAGAAUUGUUAAACAACUGGGUUUUAUAUUUUGACUAAGUUGAUGUCCCAGGGACAGUUAGUGACAACAUAGGUCAAUGCAACGUAAUUGUGGUAAGAAAUAUGGAAACAAUGGUUAACAUUGAGAGAUGUAUUCACCUCUGAACCACACAGAUCCCUUGUGUAUGUGUGUAUUCUUUUGAUACUCAUUCCUGUUAAGAGAAGUAUAACCUUUAUUAUGAUUAUAAUAUUACCAUACUAAGUGGAUUGUACAACCCAGAAUGAAGGGUUUGAAAUGAUGAAGUGUCUCGGUUUUUUUCAGUGUUGAUUUUCCUUACUUUAAUAGGAACAACAUUGAACAAUAAAUUACAAAUAAUAAUACUAAAAUCCUUAAACCCAGACAUUAUCUCAAUAAAUGAAAUGUGAAAGCCCCCAGGGGCUCUGGGGGAGUGGGAAUAUGUGUAAAGUCUGAUAUGAUGAAAGCAUAUAAAAUUGAAAUUAUCGAUAAAGCCAUAGAAGGAAUUAUUGGUUUGCGCGUCGAGCAUAUGGAGUCAGAUUAUUGUUUUGUUGUGUUUUCAUGCUAUUUGCCACCUGAACAGUCCACGAGGUAGAGAUGCAUCCUCCUUCUAUAGUCAUUUGUUAAGUCAAGUAUACCUAUGUACAGAAGCAGAUGCUAUUUACAUAUGUGGGGAUCGAAUUGGGAGGAUAGAUGACUAUAUAAAUUAUAUUGAUGAUAUUCCAUCGCGUGUUGCUUUGGAUGACUUUGUUAAUCAUCAUGGGGAAACCCUAUUAGAAUUCCUUCGGGACUCUAAAAUGUGUAUCAUUAAUGGAAGGAUAUGCCCCUUAAACGAUAACUUUACAUCCAUAUCUGGCAAUGGAAAAUCUGUGGUGGACUAUAUAGUUACCCUCCACAACUGUCUAGAAACUUGUUUUGAAUUUAAGGCGUUAUCUCCUACACAGAUGGUUGAAGAAUGCGGAUAUUUUGACUUAAUUGGAGAGAAAAGUAGACUUCCUGAUCAUUCUCUUUUAUUUAUGAUCUUUUCUGUUGGCCACAAACUUUCUCAACCAGGUAUUGCUGUGCAUCACACGUGGCAAAAUAUACCCCGCAUUGGCCUAAAUGUAAGAAAGGAAAUGUGCCAAAUGACUUUCUAUGUUCUGAAAUGGCAUGUAGAGCUCUGGUGGAAGUCAUCAAAACUCUGGAAAGAUGCCAAGAAACACCAUUUGAUUUAGAUGUGCGGUAUGAAACAUUUUGUGAUAUUAUAUACUCUGAAACAGGAAUAAAGAAUCCAUCCCCCAAGUCCAGGAAGGUUUACAAGCCGAACAAACCUUAUUGGAAUGAUGAGUUAAGGGAUCUAUGGUCAGUAAUGCGCAAGGCUGAGUACUUAUUUUUACAGUGUAAAGAUAGGAAUACAAGAGAACAGUGUUGGAAGGAAUAAAAAACAGCAUGUGUUUGAUAAAAGACUGCGCCUAUUUAAACUGAGAUAUCAGAGAGGGCAGUUAUUACACCUUGAGGAGAUACAGACAAGAAAUCCUCAGCAGUUUGGAGCCAAAUAAACAAGUUAGGAUCAAAACGACAUAAGAAAAUUCCAAAGGAAGUCAGGGAAGAGCAGGGGGGGCAGAAAUCUGAUAUUACACAGGUACUUAAUAACCUGUUGGGGCUACAGGUUAGCAAUGAACCCCGAGUCGGGAUUGCUAACAAGGCUGGAAAUUCAAAACAUAAAAAAUCUAAUAAUUUCAAUUUCUCAAACAAUCAACUAUUUUACACAAUUUAAAAGAUAAACAUCUCCUUAAUCUAACCACAUUGUUCGAUUUUCAAAGAGGCUUUACGGCAAAAGCAUAAAGUUAGAUUAUGUUAGGACAGUACAUAGCCACAAAAGUACAAACAUCCAUUUUCAAUUCAAGGUCAGG